This 763-nucleotide ribosomal RNA is filed under the name Salmonella enterica subsp. enterica serovar Typhimurium. Its description in RNAcentral is "partial 23S ribosomal RNA". It matches the Rfam family "Bacterial large subunit ribosomal RNA", at positions 568 to 1247 of the family's 2925-position model. The record is from RNAcentral. Lineage: Bacteria; Pseudomonadati; Pseudomonadota; Gammaproteobacteria; Enterobacterales; Enterobacteriaceae.
AAGCAGUGGGAGCACCCUUCGGGGUGUGACUGCGUACCUUUUGUAUAAUGGGUCAGCGACUUAUAUUCUGUAGCAAGGUUAACCGUAUAGGGGAGCCGGAGGGAAACCGAGUCUUAACCGGGCGUUAAGUUGCAGGGUAUAGACCCGAAACCCGGUGAUCUAGCCAUGGGCAGGUUGAAGGUUGGGUAACACUAACUGGAGGACCGAACCGACUAAUGUUGAAAAAUUAGCGGAUGACCUGUGGCUGGGGGUGAAAGGCCAAUCAAACCGGGAGAUAGCUGGUUCUCCCCGAAAGCUAUUUAGGUAGCGCCUCGUGAAUUCAUCUCCGGGGGUAGAGCACUGUUUCGGCUAGGGGGCCAUCCCGGCUUACCAACCCGAUGCAAACUGCGAAUACCGGAGAAUGUUAUCACGGGAGACACACGGCGGGUGCUAACGUCCGUCGUGAAGAGGGAAACAACCCAGACCGCCAGCUAAGGUCCCAAAGUCAUGGUUAAGUGGGAAACGAUGUGGGAAGGCCCAGACAGCCAGGAUGUUGGCUUAGAAGCAGCCAUCAUUUAAAGAAAGCGUAAUAGCUCACUGGUCGAGUCGGCCUGCGCGGAAGAUGUAACGGGGCUAAACCAUGCACCGAAGCUGCGGCAGCGAACGUAUCACCCAAGACAACUUUACGGAGUUGACGAUUGACGGAGCGAAGCGACGUCAAAGCGUUCAUUAAAGUCGAGUUGGCUUAGGGAUACGUUCGUUGGGUAGGGGAGCGUUCUGUAAG